GGAUUAGAUACCCUGGUAGUCCACGCCCUAAACGAUGUGCGCUAGAUGUUGGGGGACUUGUCCUUCGGUGUCGUAGCUAACGUGUUAAGCGCACCGCCUGGGGAGUACGGCCGCAAGGUUAAAACUCAAAGGAAUUGACGGGGGCCCGCACAAGCGGUGGAGCAUGUGGUUUAAUUCGACGCAACGCGCAGAACCUUACCAGCCCUUGACAUGGUAGUUUUGGUUCGGAGAGAUCCGGCCUUUCCUUCGGGAGGCUACUGCAGGUGCUGCAUGGCUGUCGUCAGCUCGUGCCG
RNAcentral lists this ribosomal RNA (293 nucleotides) under uncultured bacterium. Its description in RNAcentral is "partial 16S ribosomal RNA". It matches the Rfam family "Bacterial small subunit ribosomal RNA", at positions 775 to 1067 of the family's 1533-position model. The record is from RNAcentral.